Molecule: ribosomal RNA, 505 nt
Filed under: uncultured bacterium
Lineage: Bacteria
Description: partial 16S ribosomal RNA
Rfam family: Bacterial small subunit ribosomal RNA
Source: RNAcentral
GACGAACGCUGGCGGCGUGCCUAAUACAUGCAAGUAGAACGCACAGUUUAUACCGUAGCUUGCUACACCAUAGACUGUGAGUUGCGAACGGGUGAGUAACGCGUAGGUAACCUGCCUGGUAACGGGGGAUAACUAUUGGAAACGACAGCUAAGACCGCAUAAUAUUAAUUAUUGCAUGAUAAUUAAUUGAAAGGUGCAAUUGCACCACUACCAGAUGGACCUGCGUUGUAUUAGCUAGUAGGUGAGGUUACGGCUCACCUAGGCGACGAUACAUAGCCGACCUGAGAGGAUGAUCGGCCGACCUGAGACUGAGACACGGCCCAGACUCCUACGGGAGGCAGCAGUAGGGAUACUUCGGCGAUGGACGAGAGUCUGACCGAGCAACGCCGAGGGCUUGUACAAGGUCUUCGGAUCGUAGAGCUCUGUUGUAAGAGUAGAACGGGUGUGAGAGUGGAAAGUUCACACUGUGACGGUAGCUGACCAAAAAGGGACGGCUAACUACGUG